UCCUGGCUCAGAACGAACGCUGGCGGCGUGCUUAACACAUGCAAGUCGAACGCGAAAGGGACUUCGGUCCUGAGUAAAGUGGCGCACGGGUGAGUAACGCGUAGAUAACCUGUCUUCAUGUCUGGAAUAAUACGCCAAAGGGGUACUAAUACCGGAUAUUCUUGCUUUUCAUAAGUUAUGCAAGCAAAGGUGGCCUCUGCAUAUGCUACUGCAUGAAGAGGGGUCUGCGUACCAUUAGCUAGUAGGUGGGGUAAUGGCCUACCUAGGCGACGAUGGUUAGCGGGUCUGAGAGGAUGAUCCGCCACACUGGCACUGGAACACGGGCCAGACCCCUACGGGAGGCAGCAGUGAGGAAUAUUGCGCAAUGGGGGAAACCCUGACGCAGCGACGCCGCGUGAGUGAGGAAGGCCUUCGGGUCGUAAAGCUCUGUCAAGAGGAAAGAAGUGUACAAUGGCUAAUACCUGUUGUAUUUGACGGUACCUCUAAAGGAAGCACCGGCUAACUCCGUGCCAGCAGCGGC
This 520-nucleotide ribosomal RNA is filed under the name uncultured bacterium. Its description in RNAcentral is "bacterial SSU rRNA". It matches the Rfam family "Bacterial small subunit ribosomal RNA", at positions 17 to 518 of the family's 1533-position model. The record is from RNAcentral.